RNAcentral lists this non-coding RNA (27 nucleotides) under Homo sapiens (human). The record is from RNAcentral. Lineage: Eukaryota; Metazoa; Chordata; Mammalia; Primates; Hominidae.
GAGGGGAUGCUGAAGCGGGUGCUGUCU